GGAGGGUAGCGCCCGUUGGUGGGCAAGCGGCCUUGAAAGCCGUGCCAGGCAGCGAUGUCCUGAGGGUUCGACUCCUUUACCUUCCGC
This 87-nucleotide transfer RNA is filed under the name Mycobacteroides abscessus subsp. abscessus. RNAcentral describes it as "tRNA-Ser(tga)". It matches the Rfam family "tRNA". Rfam says of the family: Transfer RNA (tRNA) molecules are approximately 80 nucleotides in length. Their secondary structure includes four short double-helical elements and three loops (D, anti-codon, and T loops). The record is from RNAcentral. Lineage: Bacteria; Bacillati; Actinomycetota; Actinomycetes; Mycobacteriales; Mycobacteriaceae.